CUGCAGUCCCUGCCUACACGAGCUGCUGCUCGUAGCUGCUGUCGGCGACCACGUUCCGAAGCUCCUGCUUCCGGCCACAACUCCGUGCUGCUGAUGCCGACCAUCUCCAGCUCAAGCUGCUGCCCCUGGAUGAGUGGAUGGGCUGGAGAGAUUGGUGGGUACAUCUCAGAGCAGCACACUCGCCGGUCCAGGAGCAACCUUCUUCUGCUCUGUGAACCGCCUUCAUCGUCAAGGUCAUGUUCCUGUUCUGAUAUGCCUCUUUUGUGGACCUAGGAUUCUGGUCUCGUCUACAUUUGUAGCUGCAUCUCUUAUUAGGUACAGGAAGUCAAUUUGGUCUCAUUUUAUGUGGCAAGGCAUAUAGAUGGUCUCGGAAAUUGCUGCGCCUCAGCAUGUGAAGUUGGAGCCAAGGAGAUUGUAGGCGAGUAAGUUUCUGCUGCUGCUGCCGGUGUCCAGCGCGCCCUGCUGCCCCUGCCUUCUUCGACUUGGACGUCUCCUACACUACUGGGUCACCCUGAAGGUCUCUCUUUCUCUCUCGAGUAGUCCCUAUUUUCCUUGGACUGCACUGUGUAUGUUUGCGGCUAUUGAUUCUCCUCCACCAAGAUUUUAUUUUGUUUACUACAUUGCUGUGAUGUAAAGGUGUUGGGCAUCAUUGAUUAUUUAUUAUGCUUGACUUGGUAUGGUGAAAUCGGUUGAAACAUAUGUCUUAGUCUUGCUGAAA
Molecule: long non-coding RNA, 718 nt
Organism: Lolium rigidum
Lineage: Eukaryota; Viridiplantae; Streptophyta; Magnoliopsida; Poales; Poaceae
Exons: 2
Source: RefSeq, a predicted model, not a curated record